UUGAUUUAUUUAUUCUUUAAUUCAGAUGACACAUUUAUAAUGGGUUUGAGAAAUUUUCUGACGGGCGAACCCGCCAAAGAAACAGGUAAUUAAACACAGGGUUGAAGGUUGAACCCCGAAGGGUUCCCUUUUCAAUAAUGAUCCUUCCGCAGGUUCACCUACGGAACGUUCUUCUCACUGCACUUCGUUUGGGUGCAGCGUUCUCCAAUUCUGGAGGAGACCGGUCAUAUCUUAAUCAUCUUCGAUGACCACCAUUACUUGAUCUGUGAACCCGGGCGUUAGCACGGGGCCGCUGAUCCCUAAGGGUCUCAGCAAUUUCAUGGUGUUGCCAUACUCGCAUAUUACAAGUAGGCUGCGCAAUUGUUUAAGGUCGCUGCGAAAGGCUUCAGUAGGGACGGAAGGGAAA
RNAcentral lists this unclassified non-coding RNA (406 nucleotides) under uncultured fungus. RNAcentral's name for it is "sequence contains ITS1". Lineage: Eukaryota; Fungi. The record is from RNAcentral.